RNAcentral lists this ribosomal RNA (433 nucleotides) under uncultured bacterium. RNAcentral describes it as "partial 16S ribosomal RNA". It matches the Rfam family "Bacterial small subunit ribosomal RNA", at positions 29 to 507 of the family's 1533-position model. The record is from RNAcentral.
AACGAACGCUGGCGGCAUGCCUAACACAUGCAAGUCGAACGAGACCUUCGGGUCUAGUGGCGCACGGGUGCGUAACGCGUGGGAACCUGCCCUUAGGUUCGGAAUAACUCCCCGAAAGGGGUGCCAAUACCGGAUAAUGUCUUCGGACCAAAGAUUUAUCGCCUUUGGAUGGGCCCGCGUUGGAUUAGCUAGUUGGUAGGGUAAAAGCCUACCAAGGCGACGAUCCAUAGCUGGUCUGAGAGGAUGAUCAGCCACACUGGGACUGAGACACGGCCCAGACUCCUACGGGAGGCAGCAGUGGGGAAUAUUGGACAAUGGGCGAAAGCCUGAUCCAGCAAUGCCGCGUGAGUGAUGAAGGCCUUAGGGUUGUAAAGCUCUUUUACCCGGGAUGAUAAUGACAGUACAGGGAGAAUAAGCUCCGGCUAACUCCGUG